Molecule: long non-coding RNA, 5561 nt
Organism: Betta splendens (Siamese fighting fish)
Lineage: Eukaryota; Metazoa; Chordata; Actinopteri; Anabantiformes; Osphronemidae
Exons: 2
Source: RefSeq, a predicted model, not a curated record
AGGGAGGAGGACGACGGAGAGGAAGGUGGAGGAGACGCGAAGCCAGGAACGAAUGGAGGCGCGUGGAGUUGGACCCCUCCUGUGGGACGAGCGAGGAGACGGGACGUGAAGAGCUACGCCGAUCGCCUCGCCUCUCCUGGGUCCAGAUGUUUACCUCCACCGAGCCGCUUUGACUCGUCUUAGCCGCUUAAUUGGCAGCACACCUUUAACGAACAACUUCCAAUUAGGACUCAAACAAAGUAACGUUCACCACCAGGAGAGGAAGGUUCUGCCUCUGUCAUUCGGGGAAGUGUCAUUCCUGCCGUAUGUUAAUGAUGCCAAGGCUUCUCAGUAUGAAAAGCAAACGUGUAUUCAACAUAUUACAAUACAGUGUUGUAUUAGCGAUAGCACGAUAAUGGAUUCUUUUUUAUUUAUCGUAAUAUUUCUACAGGUCAAACUAGAAACUCUCACAGACAAACACGAGGUCUCGUGUGGUACAAAAUGAUCAUUUCCCAUCAAAUCAUUGUGAGUGUUGUUAAACAGUGACUCCAGCUUUUGCCAGAAUAAGAGCUACUGUAAAUUAGCAUGAAGUGAACGUCGGUUCAUUCCUCUCUCAGCCAUUAUGGCUGUUUAAUAUCCUUUAGCAGCUGGUCGCCGGGCCCUCUGUGGACGGGCAGACGCUCCAUCUCUGGGUUUUUACGGCACCAGCUGCCUGAGACCAAGCGAGGAGAAUGGCUCAGAAAGCCGACAGUGAACUGGAAAACAGUUCAGCUGUUCACAACUUCAGCACAGACUCUGACCUGGUGAAAGGAGUCAGAACCGAGAGCGAGACACGUGGAGAAUGGAUGAGAACGGCGACGGGAUAAAAAAGCAGACGGCGACGUCGGAUUUGGGGAGGAAGAGGAGGAGAGGGAGCGACGGACGGACUGAAGCGAGAGGAUGAAGAGCGACAGUGAGAAGCGGGGAUAAAGAGGAACAUGGAAUAAAAGAAAGGCAGGAGACGGCAGAGAGCAGUGAGGGGUGACAGACGGGAGGCAUGAAGGAGUUUUAUUGACAGGUGGAGCGAGGACUGGGGAUUUGCACAGGGGCUAAUGAAGAAGAGCUGCAGAGGCGGCGGACGAGGGCCACGAGGAAGCUGCAGGCUGCGGCUGGGACACGUGGGCGUAAACACGCGGAUGACGCAGGUGAGCCCCACCGGUAAAGGACUGAGGCGGAAUCACAUCUGAAACCCACCGUAUCAUAGAUUACCGGGGAUUAGCAGCAGGUAAUCGGCGAUCUGGGAUGGAUUAUAUUGUGACCUGCCCGGCGGCAGCGAGGACGCGCGAGCGGCAGCGAGGACGCGCGAGCGGCAGCUCUGCCUCUGCGUUACAGGCUGCGUAAACGCAGAGCUCUGCGUUUAAACCCGCCCGUCGCGCGCAAUUAGUUCUCAACACAUUACGUCGCGUUAAAUAAUGGACACUUCAUUACGAAUGGAUGGAAGGCAAGUCCUCCAGAAGCCUUCGGUGGAAGAACGUUACGCAACCGACCGCGCAACGAGCAGAACUGAAGCAAACGGGAAGUUUAAAAGCAGAAAAACACAAACAGUGGAGGCUCAGAUUGUUUUACAGGAAGUUUAUGUUCAGCGAUAUACUUUAUAUUAAUUAUGGAACAUUUUACAUCUGGAUGAUUGUACAUUAUUCCCUUGUUAUCUCACUACAUCAUAUAUAUCAUACAUCGCAUGCUGUCUUUGCUGUGUCUGUGCACAAACGCUGCAUUUAAGUCAUGUCACCGGCCCCAAAGUCAAAGACGUCUCAUUACAGGCUGAAACUGGAGACAGUGGAUGAAAAACGAGAGCGGGGGGAGGAGGGGGGUGUAGACGGCGGGACCGCCCCAGGCCUCGGGCCGAGCCGCGGGUCACGUCACACCAAAUGUCUGCGAGUGGAGUCCAGCAGCGGUUCCGCUCCCACUCGGGGCAGCGGCGGCGCGGCUGCGUUUGUGUCACAGUGGCGUUGGGCUCGUGCGCGCGCGUGACCAACACGCCGGAAAUAACGGAGGUUAAAGGUCGUGGGUGACCCAAUUGCUAAUGACGUUAGCAUGCUAGCUACCGUCCCCGAGCGCGCGCCGGCUGACGAUGUCAUUUAAACCUAAGGAGGCGUUUUAUAGAUCGCCGUAUAACGUUACCUUAUGAGAUAUAUUGUCAUUUCCUCUGGGCCUUCCUGUAAAGUGCACAUGCUAAUCAUUUAGUUAAUGCCGGGUGAUAAAAUACUGUUAAAGCACGCAGAAAGUGAAGCCGCUUUCUAAUAGUUCUGAUUUAGCAUCGGGGCCGCUGUCGUUAGCUAGUAGCUCGCGCAUCCACAGCUCUGCUUUGGCUCCAAGCGGCUCCAGAGGAAACACCGGCUCCUCCGCUGCUCCACAACAGAAGGGAUGAAAGAAAAAAAGGUGAAAAUGGGUGAUUCACCCUCCAAACAGGAGCGGACACGGGCCGAGUGCGCGAGCUGUAAUGAACAGAACGCGGACUCACGCUUGAGGAAUAAAACCACUGGAGAGCAGAAGAUGAAUUCAUAAUUCUGAUGAACCGAAGACACGUAAGCAGGCUUUGCUGGCUUCAGGGUGCUCAUGUUGGACUCCCCUGUUGGAGAACAACCCAUGAUGAUGGAUGGAUGGAUGAGCGUUAAUGAACAUUAAACCACAUACCAACAUUUCCGCAAGAAGAAUUUGUAAUAGGUACGUAUUACAUCAUUACAAACUGUUAAAGCAGCCAAGAUCUCCCUCUGCCCCAUUCGAUAAAAGGCUCAAGUACAAAAGGAAAGUCAGUAAAGCUUUGUUGCAUGUGUAAGUACAUGGACAGGGCUCAUCAGCAGAGCGAAGCGGAAAAGGACCCGAAAAAAAAAAUCAACUCAUGAAUUCACUCUCUCCACCUCGUUCAUCGUCACCUGCAGCACUUGUCAGUAGUAAAAGAAUUCACAUACAACGAACUGCGUAAUAUUCACAAACUACAUAUACAUAGAGUUGUCGUCAUUUUACCCCAAAAAAGAAACACAGCUGAGAAAGAACCAUGAAAUAAAUAGUCUAACAGGAUGUUGGGAGACACAUUUUUAACUCAAAGUACCAUUGUUCGCUGUAGUUUGUGCAUCAGUUUAAAAUUAAUUAUUUAAAUCAGUUUAAAGCUUUUCAAUUUAAAGGGCUCUCUCAUAAUAAAAUGAUUCAUUCCUAUAACUAGUUUAGUUACAUUCUCUUUGCUUUGUUGACAGGACCUCAAACGGUUCUGGCCAGCGAGGUCUUUUUCUGGGUCAUAACACGAUUUCACACCGCGCUGUCCGACGCUAAACCCAGAAUAAUUAAGUAAAUGGAGCAAAUCUGUAAAGUCUAAGUCGCAGGGGAGAGGCGUCCUCACACGCAUGAGUUUCUACACUGAAAUUUUCUAGCUUUAAGUCAUAAUCCACACACUCUCUCCUACAGUGGCGUUUGCUACUGCGGCGCUAUGUGACGUCCACCAAAGUGGCAAACAGACACACACACACUGAACAGACUCUUUCCAUUUAGCAGGAAGUAUUAGUGUCCUCAGAAGCAGAUGUCUCUGCAAGAGAUUAACUUCUGGCCACACGCACACAGACACACACACGCACACACAAAUACCCUGUGGAGUUAUUUUAAGUUAGUUUCAUUACUGAAGUUCAUCCCUGAUGUCUGAGCCUUUCUAUGUUUGUGUGAAUACACUUUAGUUGUACGAAGGAUGGUUUUAAGAAUUUGAAUUGGGUCUAGGUUGGAGUUGGGAUUAGGCAUUUAGGUGCAUCGGCUAAAGUUACUGUAAGAAAAUAUGAAAUGCAUUAUGUUAAUGAGUAGCAAGUGAGUGUGUGUGUGACUUCUUUGCUGAGACAGGACAGGAUGAUUAUGUUUUGUUUUCAGACUCUGGGUUUCUGAGAAAAUGUUACUUUGUUACAUCACUUAAAUCUUCCCUCUUUUACUACAAAAGACACACACACACACACACACACACACACACACACACACACACACUAUCCAGAUGGACGUCUGCUCACUGACCGUCAUGCAGCCUUGGCUGGAUUUCGAUUGAAGCUUUAGGGCCGGAGAGAUUAUCCCGACCAGUGAUGCUGCAAACCCUGGCAGGACAGGUGUGUGUGUGUGUGCGUUGGUGGUGAAGUAUAAUAGGAUAACCAGGCUGGAUGGAGGAGCAGCCAGCUCAAACACAAAUGCGCGUGUUGCAGCGCCCCCUGCUGGACAAUUACUGCGAUUACGGCUAAAAAUAAGGACUUGGACCUGGUCUUUUAAAACGGGGGCUAAUUCCACUCAUGUAAAAGCUGUGCGGCUUCUGAAGGCAUCUCCACAGGCUGCGUUUAGAAUUGUUCUACACAGAUAAGGUAACUCAAACAAAUGUCAGUGAUCGCUACAAACAAAACGUCCAAAUUGUGUAGUGAAACUUUUCUUACAACUCUGUCGGGUCUUUCCGAACACAGGCUAGCAUGCGUGAAUAGAUGCUGAGCAGACACAACAACUGCAUCGACCCAGUGAAGCCGCUGCAGGAACGAUCGGCCUGCGGUGCAGCAAAAUGUACGCGUCUGAACGAAACAGGACAUGGAGGCAAGAAAAAGUAAAGUGAGGCGUUAUUAAAAGCCAUAGGAAUAAAGACUGACUACGAUUUCACGAAAUCCUCCAACGAAAGUCAACAUGUGUCAAAAACAGCAAAAUAAAAAAUAAUAUAACUCUGUAGACAGUCUGUGAUAAAAAAGGAAUAAAAUUAGUUAAUCUAUAUCAUUACUAUGCCACAUUAUAAUCAUUAUAGACCCCAGAGGAAUUUAUACAUUUUCCUUAUUACAAGUAAUAUUCUAACUGAUUGACAGCUCGGCCUCGGAGUCGGCCAGAAAAGAAGGCGUAUUGUCUGUGCUCCUGUAGAAGGCGCUCCGAUUGGGCGAGGAUGGGUCGGAGGGCGAGGAGCAGUUGGAGGGUGGGUCCGAGCCGGUGCUGGGGCUGCUGUGGUUGGACAGCUGGGAGAAAAGGGCAUCCUUCUGAAGACCUUUGUUCUGCAGCUCCAUCUUCAGGUGCUGGCAGAUUUCUUCAGGUAGUCGCUUGUACUCUUCAUCCAGAUCCUUCACCAGCUGGGACUUCAGCUAGACACGGUGAGAGCCAUUUGUUUAGAGGUACACUAUUAUUUGUUCUAUUCGUGCGAGCGCCCCGUGAGGCGGUUCAAACGAGUCGAGGCGCUUUCCUCUCACCUCUGGCAGUUGAUCCUCAAAGCGCUGCAUCACAUUCUUAUGGUCUAGAACCACUUUUUCUUGCCUCUUGAGCUGAGCCAACUCCAGCUGGGGUUGGAAGCAAAGAUGGGAGGCGUUAAGCGAAUGCAAGCAGUGAAGUAAAUAAAGUGAGGGUAAAGAAAGCAGGAAAAGACAGACGUGGCAUCAGAUGGAGUUGUACUGUACGUACCGAACGAAUGGAGGCCACGGAUUCCUGUAUGUGCUUCCUGUUGAUGUCCUCCAGCUCCCUACGAACACAAAGGUGAAGACUGGUCAAAAGAAGACACGACGCACAACAUUUAACCACCAGAAGUGUCCAACAAUGAAGACAAAUAAAUCCAAUGUUACUUCUCA